RNAcentral lists this ribosomal RNA (424 nucleotides) under uncultured bacterium. RNAcentral describes it as "partial 16S ribosomal RNA". It matches the Rfam family "Bacterial small subunit ribosomal RNA", at positions 354 to 795 of the family's 1533-position model. The record is from RNAcentral.
GUGGGGAAUAUUGGACAAUGGGCGCAAGCCUGAUCCAGCCAUGCCGCGUGAGUGAUGAAGGCCCUAGGGUUGUAAAGCUCUUUCAGUGGGGACGAUAAUGACGGUACCCACAGAAGAAGCCCCGGCUAACUUCGUGCCAGCAGCCGCGGUAAUACGAAGGGGGCUAGCGUUGUUCGGAUUUACUGGGCGUAAAGCGCACGUAGGCGGAUCGUUAAGUCGGGGGUGAAAUCCUGGAGCUCAACUCCAGAACUGCCUUCGAUACUGGCGAUCUUGAGUCCGGAAGAGGUGAGUGGAACUCCUAGUGUAGAGGUGGAAUUCGUAGAUAUUAGGAAGAACACCAGUGGCGAAGGCGGCUCACUGGUCCGGUACUGACGCUGAGGUGCGAAAGCGUGGGGAGCAAACAGGAUUAGAAACCCGUGUAUCC